UGCACAAGUCGCGAAGAAAACAACAUUUUAGUGGUCAAUUUCAUGCGGCUGGUCCGCGUGAAGGUUUUUUUGUAAAGGACUAUUUUAUCAUUUGAAGGGGUUUUAAUAACCAUGUCUGAAGCUGAGUCGGUUCGGGUGGCAGUGAGGGUCCGUCCUUUCAAUCAAAGGGAGAAGGACCAUGGAGCCAAAUUAAUUAUUGAUAUGCAAGGACAGCUUACAACAAUUAAAAACCCAGAGACACCUAGUGAGGAACCAAAAAAGUUUUCCUUUGACUUUUCUUACUGGUCUCAUGAUGGAUUUACUGAGAGAGCUGACGGGGUGCUGGAGCCGACAGCUGGUUCUAAAUACGCUAGCCAACCCAUUGUUUUCAAGGAUUUGGGCCAGGGGGUACUGGACAAUGCCUUUGAAGGUUACAACUGCUCUCUAUUUGCCUAUGGUCAGACGGGCUCUGGGAAGUCGUAUUCUAUGGUGGGAUAUGGGAAUAAUAAGGGUAUUGUUCCAAUGACCUGUGACAAACUCUUUCAAGCAGUGAAUAAUAAUAGUGAUCCCAACAAGAGGUUUGAGGUCUCCUUCUCUAUGUUAGAGAUUUACAAUGAGCAGGUGAGAGAUCUUUUGUCCAAAGACAAACCAAAAGGUGGCCUUCCAGUCAGGCAGAACCCCAAGAUGGGCUUUUUCUAUGUCCAGGGAUUAAAGAGGGCUCCAGUAGGCAGUUAUGAGGAUAUUGAAGCACAGAUUGAUAAAGGCACUGCCAAUAGAACCGUGGCGUCCACCAACAUGAAUGCCACCAGUAGUCGCGCCCACACCGUGGUCACCAUCACCUUUGACCAGAUCAUCAAGGACCCCACUGGACAGGAGAAGAAGAAAAGCAGUGAGAUGAACUUGGUGGAUUUGGCAGGUUCUGAGAGGGCCGAAAGCACAGGAGCAACAGGAGACAGACUGAAAGAGGGCGCCAACAUCAACAAAUCACUGUCUGCUCUUGGGAACGUCAUUUCUGCUCUGGCUGAUUUGUCCAUGGGGAAGAAGAAGGUGAUGGUGCCUUACAGAGACUCUGUCCUCACCAAACUACUGCAGAAUGCACUCGGAGGAAACAGUAAAACCAUCAUGAUAGCUGCCCUGUCCCCAGCUGAUAUAAACUAUGAUGAGACGUUAAGUACGCUGAGGUACGCUGACAGAGCGAAAAAGAUCAAAAACAAGGCUGUCAUCAAUGAAAACCCCAUGGACAAGUUGAUCAGAGAGUUAAAGGAAGAGAAUGAGCGUCUGAAGAAACAGAUGGAAGGUGGCGGUGGUCCCAUAGCAGGUGGUGUUGGCAUGACUGCGGAAGAAAUUGAGAAAUACAAAGAAGAAAUCAGACUGGAGAUGGAAGAAAAUAUGAAAAAGAUGGGAGGCAUGAGUUGGGAUGAACAGGUGAAACAGAGCAGACAGGAGGCCGAGACAGAUUCGGGAGGAAAGGCAACCUCCAACAAAAAGAGUACAGUUUCCCACUUUGUCAAUCUGAAUGAAGACCCCAUGCUCUCUAGCAAAGUCUACUACUUUCUUGAGAAACCAGAGGUCACAAUUGGACGCAAAGAUGCCGAGCCCAUGCCAGAUAUCUGUCUCAGUGGAUUGAGCAUAAUGAAACAGCAUGCUGUCGUCACUAACUCUGGAGGUGAUUAUGAAAUCAAGCCUGGCGCCAAGGGGGCCAAGAUCAAAGUGAAUGGAAUGCCUCUGACGGGACCGCGCCCCCUGGCACACAAAGACAGGGUGUUGUUCGGCUCCAAUCACAUGUACGUGUUCUACAAUGCACAGAAACCCAACGCCCCUGAGGGCACACCCCCGGAUUCAAAACUAGACUGGGAGUUUGCUCAGAAGGAGAUUGCUCAGGCUAAAGGUUUUGCUACUGGAUCUGGUGCAGGAUUAUCCAAAGAACAACAGAUCGCCCAGGAGCAAGUGUUGGAGAUUUUGCCGAUGGUGACAGAAGUCAAUGCUAUCUCUGAGGAGCUGGAUAAACACAGGUCCUUCGAGGUUGUUCUUAUUUCCUCGGCAGCACAAGAGGGAGGUGUGGCUGGUAACAAGGGAACUUCUGGUGAAGCUGGGAUCAGAGUGAUGGUGAAAAUGAAGAACCUGUUGAAUGGAAACACUUGGUUGUGGGAGAGAGGGAAGUUCAUGAACAGACGAUAUCUGGCUCAGGAGCUCUACCAGAGGUUCCUGGAUGGAGAAGACGCUGCCGUCAAAAACCUGCCAAAGGAGGAAGAUCCAUUCUGGGAGCCAACGGAGGAUGUUCUCAUUGGAACAGCCAAUGUAUUUCUCCAGUCCCUGGGUUACGCCCUGGACUUCGAGGACACGCUGACCGUGACAGACUACAAGGGCCAGGAGGAAGGCACCAUCAUGGUAGUUGUGGCUCCAUGUAAUGCUAAAGGAAAUGACUUGGAUGACGAUUCCUUUGUGGAUUCUCCCGAGGAUUUACUUGGGAAACCUUACCAUUAUAAGGUAACUGUACAAAAAGCCGAAGUUCACAAAGCAAGGUUCUCCAAGGGAGUACGAAUCAAGUACAAAGUCCCAACCGUUCAAGGCGAAACUGAAGAAUACACUGAGACCCCAAUGGUCCGAGGGUCCCUCAGUCCUGUGUUCAACCACAGUAAAGUUUUCUCAAUACCAGUUAUAACACAGGAACAUUUAGAUAACUUUGAAACCAAGUGUAUCACUCUUAUGAUGUAUGGGCUGCAAGAGGAUUCCACACCUGAUCCCAAACUUAUGAAAAUGACAACAAAGGAAUUACGUCAGAUGGAAAACAUGACCAGUCCUCAGUCAGAGAUGCACAGGCGGAAUACCACGUUUGGUCUGGACCCAGAACGAGACCAGAGCGCUCUCUUGAAGUCUGAGUACCAGUUGGUUCUGAGGAAAUAUGAACGGCUGGAACAGAAGGAACGGAGAUUACAGCAAAUGUGUGAGGAAUGGGGCAACAAAAAACCAGAAGAACAAGACUUUUUGGCAUUCCACCGGGCAGUUCACGCCCUAGCCCACAGCACUGGGACCAAACUCAAGACCAGGGUCCAGAUGUUGAAUAAGAUGUUGAAGGGGUAUAAGAUGGCCCAGGUAGCUACAGAACUGUUCUUGCAAUUUCACCUAUCUCUUGUAUGGCUUAUAGUAUAUUACUGAGCAAGAUUUAGAAAAAAAAUAGGAAAGUUGCUCUGUGCGUGCCUUCCUCAUCAGAAAAAAAAAAACUAUUCAGGACCGAAUUUGAACAGUUUGAAAUGAAAUGAAAUAUGUAUAUUUUAUUAUUCUGAACUAUUUCACUCCUGUUCACAAAAGUGCAUUAGGUUCACAAAAGUGCAAUAGAAUUAUAGAAUGUUAAUAAAAUUUUGAAAUUAUAAAAUUUAAGUUGAUGUAUUUUCUUGAAAUAAUAUAAUUUGUCAGUUCAAUCCUACAAUGUGAGGAAAGUUGAAGAAGCCUUGCACUGAGCUUUGCCUGUCUUAUAAAGCUUACAUACCAAAGUAUUAUAGUCUAUUACAACGCUUGUACUAGUAGGCAGAAAAAUACACCUUCAGUCUGUAGGCUGUCAGAAGCUUCUAUGAGCAUUUUCUCACUUUUUCUCAAGCUGUGUGACAUUUCACAUUGUUAUUUCAUGUUGAUUUGACUAACAGUACUGUUAUGUUUUUGUUUUUUUUUUUAUUUCACAUUUUGUUCUAACACACUAGGUUAUACAAGCACACAAGACCUAUGAAGCUAACUCCUCUGAGAAUUUACUCCAGGCUCAG
Molecule: unclassified non-coding RNA, 3734 nt
Filed under: Lingula anatina
Lineage: Eukaryota; Metazoa; Brachiopoda; Lingulata; Lingulida; Lingulidae
Description: kinesin-like protein KIF28P, transcript variant X3
Source: RNAcentral